UGUAGCGGUCUGCCGCUACCCGGAAGCGGACUUGACGCACAGUGCGUCGGUGACCGGAAGGGGCGGGGUGUAUCCGCUGGCACCUCUAGAAGCCAUGGAGGGUCGGGAGCCGCUGCUGGUCCUGCGUGGCGCGCUACGGGCGGUGCUGGCACGGGUCCGAGAGGGCGAACCGGGCGAGGGCCGUGAGCCGUUCGAACUGCCGCUCUUCUGGGACGCGCUAGGUCAGACAUUCAAAGUAACAUCACAAGAAGCUACAAAGCUGAGUCUGGCAUUCUCAAGGCCUCCACUGACUUCUGCUGAGGAUUGCCAGAAGCUGAGUGAAGACGUCCAAAAUGCCAUUCUUGCAGUUGCCACAGUGUACUACUGGCUCCCCAAAGGCCAAGGUACUACUCUUCGGAAGAUGGUACGAGAUGCUACCACUGAAGUAGUGCAAGGAAUGAUCCAACUCACAGAAACAAUUCUCAGUGCUCCAUUGGAGAGCUUGUCUCAGGAGCAGCUUGUAUCAACUGGUGGUGUGUGGGAGGCAUGUGAACAAGUGUCCAGUCUUCCACGAGAUAACCAGGCAGCAGUUGCGUCAACUCUGGCUGCAUGUCUGGGUGUGGUGAAGGAUGCUCUGGAGGAGAUGGAGCAUGCCCUGGUGGAAGGGCAAGACCCAUACAGUGACAUCAUGGAAGAUGAAGAGCUGGGCUUUCGAGGUAACAGAGAUACAUAUUGGUCAGAAGCUGACCGGAAGCUGCUUGGCUCCUGCAUGGGAUUAAUGAAGGCUUCUAAAGCUUGCCUGAAGAAGGUCUUGGGUGUAGUGAAGGCUUAUGGGAAAGCUGAUUCUCCAGACCAGAUUGCUCAGCUGGACGAUCUUGCAGACAUUGCUAAUGAGAUCAGUCCAAGUGUUGAUGAGCUGGCACUGAGUAUGUAUCCACCUAUGAACCAGCUGGCUGUGCGGCUUAAUGCUGCUAAGUUGGCCUCGGUAUUAAAGAAAGUCUUAGAGAUUACAAGGUGCCAGUUGGUACUUGGCUGCGUUGCAGCUAUAAAAAGUGAGAAGAGCAAGAAAACUUGAAGAGGGACAUCCAAGGGGGAAGGAGCACAGACACACUCUCAAGAAUUGCAUGUUACUUUCUACAGAGAAGUUGUGAUCUUUCAGUGUCCAUUACAGAGCUGAGUAUGAGGUGUGGAUGUAAGAAAAUAACAAGCAGCACCACAGAAGGGGCUUCCUCCUUGCUCACCUUGGCCCAUAUCUGAUCAAUAUGUCCUGUAUAAGCAGCUCUGAAGCUUUCCUCUGAAUGGCCUCCUUUACUUCUGUUGUCUCACAGAAUGGCCGGUGCCUUUCACUUGUUUAAAAGUCUAGGUGUAAAGGUGCCUGUUUGCAAUAUUUCCUGUGGGGUGGAGCUUGAAUAACCUUCUUUUCUCCCCAGCCUUUAUCUUACCAACAAGGCUUGAGGAUUCAUUUUUCAUUCAUUUUUUCACUCUCUUAGUCCCCACAUCCUGAUCUCAUUUCCUUGCAAUUUAACAACUGAAGCUUGGACAACAUUUAUUCCUAACAGUCUGGCCAUUCAAGAGUUUCUUAAUGUAUUCAGACUUAAAAGAAUAUUGGCAUUUAGCUGCUUUUCUUUCUGUUACAAUUAUAAAUUUACAGGAACAGCAUAAUUACUUCUUGCACCACAUUGUUUUUAACUUGUAAUACUUCAUGAGCAACAUUUACAGUGACUUCUUUAAAUUAAUUCACUGAAUCCAUUGUUUUCCACACGCUGAUUAUUUUUUUUCCUGCUGCAUUGUAAUAAUCACAAAGCAAUGAGCAAGCUGUUGCCUCUGCCCCAAAUUUAAUCAGGCUAAAGAACCAAUUUUUCACUUAUCACAUAAUUACUCUUUAACAAUGUCAAACAGACAAGCACUCCAUGUCAUAUUUGCAUGACACACUACAGAGAUGAUAGGUAAGUUCAUUUGUGACUUGUAAUAAAAUAGCUAUCAUUGUUUUCAGCUGGUAUACUACUAUUUUUUUUUUCAUAGGAUAUCUCAGAACAUGCAACUGGCAAUGCCAAUUUGUGUACAAAAAUCUUCUCCUUAAUUUCAAGGAGAGUGAUUUUUGCUUAUGCUUUGCAGGUGGCUCCACUUUCUGUUAAGAGGGAGACUAAUUCUGAUACUUUUAUGAAACAACCUGUAAAAUUUCUCGUACUCAGUGCACAGCCUUAAGGAUGCCUCUGAGUGAUACUCAUUAUGCUGGACUGCUCACAGCUAUGUGCCUUCCCAAAUUCAGAGUUUCAAUUAGCUGUGCUCAGUAUUCAGCAGCCCACAUUGUUCCGUUUUCAGGUUUGGAUUAUGUUUGGAAACUCUAGAAUUGGAACUUGGUCAGCCCAUUUCAUAUACAGACAUAUUUUAAUCAUAUUUUGCAUAAAAGAGUGUUAUUAGAGCAAACAUUUUUUAACUGGGUAUGAUUCAGACUACUGCUUUGAAUUUCUGUUUAUUAAUAAUAUUUAGUCUUAAGAGGGACUAUAUUUUUAUCAUACACAAAGCCCAACUGUGAUUUAAAAAUUGUAAUACUUUAAUUCUAAAAUUUAAAUUUCUUAGAAUUUAAUUUUAAAAUGUUAAGUCCGAACUUCAGAGAUUAAAAGAUGUUAAGCUACACUCUCCUACCCAUACUUUUAAAUUCUCUUAAAUGACACACUAACAAUUUUUAGAAUAGAUUUUAUUUAAUAUUUCAGCCUAUCCUUGGAUACAUAGAAACUGUUUCUCUUUGUGUCAAGAUUAGUUACUGUUGAAAGAAAGAAAAAAAAGGAAAGAAAAGAGAAGUCAGCAGUUAUUCACCAUAUAGCUGCUGAUGCUGAUUUGGUCACAUAUUUUGCCUUUUUUGUGUGAUGGCAGUAGUGUGCUGGAUAUCACUGUCCUCUAUCAGUCAAUGGCAUAAUUGGUUUUGGUAUUUGAUGGUAUGAUAGUACAGUUAUAAACAGUAUGUUCUAAAAACCAGAUGCAGUCCAUUUAUUCUGGAAGAUAAUAUGUCAAGGAGAAUAAGUUGUGUCUGUUACUUCAGCUUCUGGUGCUUAUCACCAGCUCUGGCUAAGUUGCCUUUCAGAUCUCUCCUGUGCUUUGUUUGUGAAACAGAUGAAUGAUACAUAACGGACUGUGGGAUUAAAGAUUAUGGGCAAAGCUUGCGAAUGAGGGUUGAAUUAAUGUGAAAUAUGAGAAAUAUUAACACUAGUCAGAAUACUAGUCAAACAAAAUGCAUCUGACCCAGAUUGUUUCCUGUAAGACAAGUGGUAUUUGCAGAGCUUGCAUGGUGGCUGUAAAUGUAACGAUUGCACAGCUAGGUGCUUGAAACUGGUGGACAGCAAGAGAAGAUUCUUUUGGACCUCAAAAAGCAAAAGCUCUAAGACAUUUUAGGAUUUUGUUUCACAUGCCCAGAAUAAACUAUAUCAGGAUCAUAUUUGCAAACUGUUUCUGUCAUAUAACACCCAACAUCCUUUUCCAAAGAUACCCACAUUUCUUUCCUCAUUGCAGUGAUUGUGUUAAAGAAACAUAUAGUAGAAGAGUUCAGAACUGACUAGUGAAGGACAUCUUUUGCAGUAGACUGAUUUCCCACAAUUCUCUCCUUUUUUUGUAUUGCUGUUCUCUUCACCACCAACUCUGUAUGAAUACACAGGAACACUUGAAUUCUAUUAAAUGUUACAUACUAUUAAUUGUGCCUUUGUUUCGGCAUAAGAAAUAAAUCCCUAGAAUAGCC
Molecule: RNA transcript, 3709 nt
Organism: Pezoporus flaviventris
Lineage: Eukaryota; Metazoa; Chordata; Aves; Psittaciformes; Psittacidae
Gene: CCNDBP1
Gene name: cyclin D1 binding protein 1
Exons: 12
Source: RefSeq, a predicted model, not a curated record